This 73-nucleotide transfer RNA is filed under the name Parcubacteria group bacterium CG2_30_36_38. Its description in RNAcentral is "tRNA-Thr". It matches the Rfam family "tRNA". From Rfam's summary of the family: Transfer RNA (tRNA) molecules are approximately 80 nucleotides in length. Their secondary structure includes four short double-helical elements and three loops (D, anti-codon, and T loops). The record is from RNAcentral. RNAcentral also lists the same sequence under 5 other names.
GCCCAUGUAGCUCAAUUGGUAGAGCAAUCGCUUCGUAAGCGAUAGGUUACUGGUUCGAUCCCAGUCAUGGGCU